GGUCUAUAUGCUUCCUUAUUUAUCUCUUAUACAUCACAAUACAACAUUUUGUAUAGACCAUAUUGAAUUAGAAGUGCUUAGUGCAACAUUUGCACAACCCUAUGCAACCUUGCAUAGGGUCCAACAUGCCCCAUGUCACAGGUCAGUAUGACCCAUGCCUUAGGUCAGCAUGCCUCAUGCCAAGGUCAUGUUGAUCUUAGUUAAUUUGGUAUUUUCAACAUGGGGUAUGGCACAGCCCAUGCCACACCCUAUGCAUAUUUCAGCAGAUUUGGGGCAAUUUAACCAAAAAAAAAAAAAAUUCGCAAAAC
Molecule: unclassified non-coding RNA, 308 nt
Filed under: Hevea brasiliensis (rubber tree)
Lineage: Eukaryota; Viridiplantae; Streptophyta; Magnoliopsida; Malpighiales; Euphorbiaceae
Source: RNAcentral